Nicotiana attenuata is the source of this 143-nucleotide non-coding RNA. Lineage: Eukaryota; Viridiplantae; Streptophyta; Magnoliopsida; Solanales; Solanaceae. The record is from Rfam.
GGUAAAAAAAAUUAAAUGAAUUCAAGUAGAGUUUUCUCGGACUUAUCAAUAAGCUAGGCCUUGAAUACUAGAAGAAAAGCACCUAGACCUAACAAGAUUAAGUGAAUACCUAAAAUUGUGGUCAUCUUAUUUCGAUCUAUCCA